CCUACGGGAGGCAGCAGUGGGGAAUCUUGCGCAAUGGGCGAAAGCCUGACGCAGCAACGCCGCGUGCGGGAAGAAGGCCUUCGGGUUGUAAACCGCUUUCAGAAGGAACGAAACUGACGGUACUUUCAGAAGAAGGUGCGGCCAACUACGUGCCAGCAGCCGCGGUGACACGUAGGCACCAAGCGUUGUCCGGAUUUAUUGGGCGUAAAGAGCUCGUAGGCGGUUCGAUAAGUCGGGUGUGAAAACUUUGGGCUCAACCCAAAGCGUGCAUUCGAUACUGUUGUGACUAGAGUUCGGUAGGGGAGUGGGGAAUUCCUAGUGUAGCGGUGAAAUGCGCAGAUAUUAGGAGGAACACCGGUGGCGAAGGCGCCACUCUGGGCCGAAACUGACGCUGAGGAGCGAAAGCGUGGGUAGCAAACAGGAUUAGAUACCCUGGUAGUCCACGCCGUAAACGUUGGGCACUAGGUGUGGGUUCCAACCAACGGAAUCCGCGCCGUCGCAAACGCAUUAAGUGCCCCGCCUGGGGAGUACGCGCAGUAACUACAAGAAGUAGAGCGNGAGAGNGCGAGCGACGACGAGGGAGUAG
This 586-nucleotide ribosomal RNA is filed under the name uncultured bacterium. Its description in RNAcentral is "bacterial SSU rRNA". The stretch from base 1 to 521 matches the Rfam family "Bacterial small subunit ribosomal RNA", at positions 338 to 873 of the family's 1533-position model. The record is from RNAcentral.